UCUGGUUGAUCCUGCCAGUAAUUAUAUGCUUGUCUCAAAGAUUAAGCCAUGCAUGUGUCAGUUCAGACCUUAAUACGGUGAAACCGCGAAUGGCUCAUUAAAUCAGCUAUAAUUUCUUAGAUCUUGGUGAACUUGGAUACCUGUAGUAAUUCUAGAGCUAAUACUAUCGAAAAUGCAUCAGCUUGCUGAUAGCGGAUUUAUUAGACUAAAACCAACUGCCUUCGGGUAGCAGUUUUGGUGACUCUGGAUAACUUUAACAGAUCGCAUGACCUUGCGUCGGCGACGUAUCUUUCAAGUGUCUGACCUAUCAACUGACGUUGGUGAGUUAACAGCUCACCACGGUUAUAACGGGUAACGGGGAAUCAGGGUUCGAUUCCGGAGAGGGAGCCUUAGAAACGGCUACCACAUCUAAGGAAGGCAGCAGGCGCGCAAAUUACCCACUCUCAGCAUGAGGAGGUAGUGACAAGAAAUAACAAUGUGGAACUCAUACUGAGGCUCCGCAAUUGGAAUGAGUACAGAUUAAAUCCUUUAACGAGGAUCAAUCAGAGGGCAAGUCUGGUGCCAGCAGCCGCGGUAAUUCCAGCUCUGAUAGCGUAUAUUAAUGUUGUUGCAGUUAAAAAGCUCGUAGUUGGAUCUUGGGUACGGUGUGUCGGUCUGGUAUUAUUACUAUGACUGUGCGCAUCUGCCUUUGAAAGUUGCAUGAUGCUCUGCGGUGUUCUUCAUUGAAUGCUGCACGAGUGCUGAACACGUUUACCGUGAAAAAAUCAGAGUGCUAAAAGCAGGCCUUUGUGCUUGUAUGGUGGUGCAUGGAAUAAUGGAAUAGGACUUCGGUUCUAUUUUGUUGGUUUUCGGUACUGAAGUAAUGAAAAAUAGAGACAGUUGGGGCCAUUCGUAUGGUAGCGGGAGAGGUGAAAUUCUGAGAUCGUUGCCAGACGAACUACUGCGAAAGCAUUUGGCUAGCAUGUCUUCAUUAAUCAAGAACGAAAGUUAGAGGAUCGAAGACGAUCAGAUACCGUCCUAGUUCUAACCAUAAACGAUGCCGACCAGUGAUCAGGGGUGGUCUAUAAUUAUUGACACCUCUGGUUGCCUCUGGGAAACCUCAUAGUUAGGUUCUGGGGGGAAUAUGGUCGCAAGGCAGAAACUUAAAGGAAUUGACGGAGAGGCACCACCAGGAGUGGAGCCUGCGGCUUAAUUUGACUCAACACGGGGAAUCUCACCCGGUCCGGACACUGGGAGGAUUGACAGAUUGAUAGCUCUUUCAUGAUUCAGUGAUUGGUGGUGCAUGGCCGUUCUUAGUUGGUGGAGUGAUUUGUCUGGUUAAUUUCGAUAACGAACGAGACUCUAAUCUGCUAACUAGAAGAGGAGCAUUGGUACUUCGGUGCUUUCGCUGCCUCAGUAUACUUCUUAGAGGAAUUCAGGAUUUGACAAGUCCUAAGAGAGAGAGCAAUAACAGGUCUGUGAUGCCCUUAGAUGUCCGGGGCCGCACGCGCGCUACAUUGACAGUAACAAAAAGUAUUAACACCUGUUCCGAAAGGUCCGGGUAAUCUUUGAAUUAUUGUCUCCACAGGGAUUGGGGUUUGCAAUUAUCCCCCAUGAACGAGGAAUUCCUAGUAGGCGCAAGUCAUCAGCUUGCGUCGAUUACGUCCCUGCCUCUUGUACACACCGCCCGUCGCUACUACCGAUUGAGUGGAUUAGUGAGGACUCCGGAUUGUCGGCUUGGAAGUGUAAACUGCCUUGUUGAUGAGAAGUGGUUCAAACUUGUUCAUUUAGAGGAAGUAAAAGUCGUAACAAGGUUUCCGUAGGUGAACCUUCGGAAG
RNAcentral lists this ribosomal RNA (1817 nucleotides) under marine sediment metagenome. RNAcentral describes it as "SSU rRNA". It matches the Rfam family "Eukaryotic small subunit ribosomal RNA". The record is from RNAcentral.